UAUACUUGGGAGUCAGACUGUGGGUGAUAAGAUUCAUAGUCGAAAGGGCAACAGCCCAGAUCGUCAGCUAAGGUCCCUAAAUGUAAGUUAAGUGGUAAAGGAUGUGGGAUUGCACAGACAACCAGGAUGUUGGCUUAGAAGCAGCCACUCAUUCAAAGAGUGCGUAAUAGCUCACUGGUCGAGUGAUCCUGCGCCGAAGAUUUCCGGGGCUAAAACUUACUACCGAAGCUACGGCAUCAGUAAUGAUGGGUAGGGGAGCUUCCCAUACGGGUUGAAGCAUGACCGUAAGGACAUGUGGACAGUAUGGGAGUGAGAAUGUUGGCAUGAGUAGCGAGAUGUGGGUGAGAAUCCCACAGGCCGUAAACCCAAGGUUUCCAGGGGAAGGUUCGUCCGCCCUGGGUUAGUCGGGACCUAAGCUGAGGCCGAAAGGCGUAGGUGAUGGACAACAGGUUGAUAUUCCUGUACUACCGAUAACCGUUUGAGAGAAGGGAUGACACAGUAGGAUAAGCUAAGCACACUGUUGGUUAUGUGUGCCCAAGCAUUGAGGCAGUCAAAGUAGGCAAAUCCGCUUUGAUAAUGCUGGGAUGUGAUGGGGAGCGAAAUUUAGUAGCGAAGUAGCUGAUUUCACACUGUCAAGAAAAGUCUCUAUCGAGGUUAAAGGUACCCGUACCGCAAACCGACACAGGUGGGUGAGGAGAGUAUCCUAAGGCCAGCGAGAGAACUGUUGUUAAGGAACUCGGCAAAAUGACCCCGUAACUUAGGGAUAAGGGGUGCCACCAUCAGGUGGCCGCAGAGAAUAGGCCCAAGCGACUGUUUACCAAAAACAUAGGUUUCUGCUAAGUCGCAAGACGAUGUAUAGGAGCUGACGCCUGCCCGGUGCUGGAAGGUUAAGGGGAUCUGUUAGAGCAAUCGAAGCAGUGAACUUAAGCCCCAGUAAACGGCGGCCGUAACUAUAACGGUCCUAAGGUAGCGAAAUUCCUUGUCGGGUAAGUUCCGACCCGCACGAAAGGCGUAACGAUUUGGGCACUGUCUCAACAACAGACUCGGUGAAAUUGUAAUUCCGGUGAAGAUGCCGGAUACCUGCGACAGGACGGAAAGACCCCAUGGAGCUUUACUGUAGCUUGACAUUGGGUCUUGGUACUACAUGUACAGGAUAGGUGGGAGGCUUUGAAACCAGGACGCCAGUUUUGGCGGAGCCAUCCUUGGGAUACCACCCUUGUAGUACUGGGACUCUAACCA
RNAcentral lists this ribosomal RNA (1239 nucleotides) under Clostridioides difficile. Its description in RNAcentral is "partial 23S ribosomal RNA". It matches the Rfam family "Bacterial large subunit ribosomal RNA", at positions 972 to 2228 of the family's 2925-position model. Lineage: Bacteria; Bacillati; Bacillota; Clostridia; Peptostreptococcales; Peptostreptococcaceae. The record is from RNAcentral.